This 292-nucleotide ribosomal RNA is filed under the name uncultured bacterium. RNAcentral describes it as "partial 16S ribosomal RNA". It matches the Rfam family "Bacterial small subunit ribosomal RNA", at positions 505 to 796 of the family's 1533-position model. The record is from RNAcentral.
GUGUCAGCAGCCGCGGUAAGACAGAGGGUGCGAACGUUGCUCGGAAUCACUGGGCGUAAAGCGCGUGUAGGCGGACGAUCAAGUCAGGUGUGAAAUCCCUGGGCUCAACCCAGGAACUGCAUCUGAAACUGGUUGCCUUGAGUGUUGGAGAGGGAAGCGGAAUUCCUGGUGUAGAGGUGAAAUUCGUAGAUAUCAGGAGGAACACCGGUGGCGAAGGCGGCUUCCUGGACAAUUACUGACGCUGAGACGCGAAAGCGUGGGGAGCAAACAGGAUUAGAUACCCUGGUAGUCC